Molecule: ribosomal RNA, 388 nt
Filed under: uncultured bacterium
Lineage: Bacteria
Description: bacterial SSU rRNA
Rfam family: Bacterial small subunit ribosomal RNA
Source: RNAcentral
AUUGAACGCUGGCGGAAUGCUUUACACAUGCAAGUCGGGCGGCAGCGCGGGGGCAACCCUGGCGGCGAGCGGCGAACGGGUGAGUAAUACAUCGGAACGUGUCCUUGAGUGGGGGAUAGCUCGGCGAAAGCCGGAUUAAUACCGCAUAAGCUCUGAGGAGGAAAGCGGGGGACUGGUAACGGCCUCGCGCUGUUGGAGCGGCCGAUGCCGGAUUAGCUAGUUGGUGGGUAAAGGCCCACCGAAGGCGACGAUCCGUAGCUGGUCUGAGAGGAUGAUCAGCCACACUGGAACUGAGACACGGUCCAGACUCCUACGGGAGGCAGCAGUGGGGAAUUUUGGACAAUGGGGCAACCUGAUCCAGCCAUUCCGCGUGAGUGAAGAAGGCCUU